RNAcentral lists this ribosomal RNA (458 nucleotides) under uncultured bacterium. Its description in RNAcentral is "bacterial SSU rRNA". It matches the Rfam family "Bacterial small subunit ribosomal RNA", at positions 8 to 464 of the family's 1533-position model. The record is from RNAcentral.
AGAGUUUGAUCCUGGCUCAGAUUGAACGCUGGCGGCAUGCCUUACACAUGCAAGUCGAACGGCAGCACGGGUGCUUGCACCUGGUGGCGAGUGGCGAACGGGUGAGUAAUAUAUCGGAACGUACCUUAUCGUGGGGGAUAACGCAGCGAAAGCUGCGCUAAUACCGCAUACGCCCUGAGGGGGAAAGCGGGGGACCGUAAGGCCUCGCGCGAUUAGAGCGGCCGAUAUCUGAUUAGCUUGUUGGUGGGGUAAAAGCCCACCAAGGCGACGAUCAGUAGCUGGUCUGAGAGGACGAUCAGCCACACUGGGACUGAGACACGGCCCAGACUCCUACGGGAGGCAGCAGUGGGGAAUUUUGGACAAUGGGGGCAACCCUGAUCCAGCAAUGCCGCGUGAGUGAAGAAGGCCUUCGGGUUGUAAAGCUCUUUUGUCAGGGAAGAAACAGCAGCUCUAACACA